CCUCCUUUAAAGAAAUCGGAAUAAGGCGUGAAAGCGCCCGCACAAUUUGCCUAAUCACCGUAAGAAUAGCCGCGGGUCUGUAGCUCAGUUGGUUAGAGCGCACCCCUGAUAAGGGUGAGGUCGGAAGUUCAACUCUUCCCAGACCCACCACCUUCCCGCCUCAAGGGGCGACAAGGGAACAAGGGGCCACAGCUCAGAUGGGAGAGCACCUGCUUUGCAAGCAGGGGGUCGGCGGUUCGAUCCCGCCUGGCUCCACCAGGCGCUAAACGGCGGUGGCAGAUUGCCACGGGCCGUUUAUCUCCUGGCCCAAGGCGCCACGGGGAUGUUCUUUUUACAAUUUAGGUAA
This 346-nucleotide transfer RNA is filed under the name uncultured Chromatiales bacterium. RNAcentral's name for it is "partial 16S-23S ribosomal RNA intergenic spacer". The stretch from base 74 to 147 matches the Rfam family "tRNA". The record is from RNAcentral. Lineage: Bacteria; Pseudomonadati; Pseudomonadota; Gammaproteobacteria; Chromatiales.